Small nucleolar RNA from Ochotona princeps (American pika), 111 nucleotides. Its record names the gene SNORA74. It matches the Rfam family "Small nucleolar RNA SNORA74". Rfam says of the family: U19 belongs to the H/ACA class of snoRNAs. snoRNAs bind a number of proteins (including dyskerin, Gar1p and Nop10p in the case of the H/ACA class) to form snoRNP complexes. This class are thought to guide the sites of modification of uridines to pseudouridines by forming direct base pairing interactions with substrate RNAs. Targets may include ribosomal and spliceosomal RNAs but the exact functions of many snoRNAs, including U19, are not confirmed. The record is from Ensembl. Lineage: Eukaryota; Metazoa; Chordata; Mammalia; Lagomorpha; Ochotonidae.
UCCAGCUGUAGGCACCUGCCUAGGUUGCCUUGUACCUAGGCAAGUGUUACACUCCUGGGGGAAAAGCAGCCAAUAGCUGGCACGCAUUCUGGGACUGGUUAAUGCCACAUU